RNAcentral lists this ribosomal RNA (429 nucleotides) under Acidobacteriota bacterium. RNAcentral describes it as "Acidobacteria bacterium partial 16S ribosomal RNA". It matches the Rfam family "Bacterial small subunit ribosomal RNA", at positions 355 to 776 of the family's 1533-position model. Lineage: Bacteria; Pseudomonadati; Acidobacteriota. The record is from RNAcentral.
UGGGGAAUUUUGGACAAUGGGGGAAACCCUGAUCCAGCCAUCCCGCGUGUGCGAUGAAGGCCUUCGGGUUGUAAAGCACUUUUGGCAGGAAAGAAACGUCAUGGGUUAAUACCCCGUGAAACUGACGGUACCUGCAGAAUAAGCACCGGCUAACUACGUGCCAGCAGCCGCGGUAAUACGUAGGGUGCAAGCGUUAAUCGGACUUACUGGGCGUAAAGCGUGCACAGGCGGUUCGGAAAGAAAGAUGUGAAAUCCCAGAGCUCAACUUUGGAACUGCAUUUUUAACUACCGGGCUAGAGUGUGUCAGAGGGAGAUGGAAUUCCGCGUGUAGCAGAGAAAUGCGUCAGUAUGCGGAGGAACACCGAUGGCGAAGGCAGCCUCCUGGGAUAACACUGACGCUCAUGCACGAAAGCGUGGGGAGCAAACAGG